AUCUCCUUUCAGCCUGACAAUCCCUUUGACCAAGGCUGCUUCACAAAUUGCUACAUCAUGAUGUGUAUGCCACUGGGACCCAAGUACAUGACCCAAGCUGUCAGUCUGCAAAUAGAGCUGGGGACUGAAUGGGAGCCAACAGAGGUAUACAUUCCAGCACAACAUCCUACACACCUCCCUGUGUCCAAGUCUCCAACUCUAGUCCCCCCAAGUAGUGGCCAGUCUGCACCUUUACAGGAGGUGUGAGGAGUAGUGAGUGUGCAUUGAAACAGGGGUGUCUGUGGACUGCACAGCUAUUGGGAGAAACCCUUCAGG
Molecule: long non-coding RNA, 315 nt
Filed under: Ictidomys tridecemlineatus (thirteen-lined ground squirrel)
Lineage: Eukaryota; Metazoa; Chordata; Mammalia; Rodentia; Sciuridae
Description: lncRNA (ENSSTOG00000031492.1)
Source: RNAcentral